UGCAAGUCGAACGAAGCGCUUGAGAUUGAUUCUUCGGAUGAUUUCUCUUGCGACUUAGUGGCGGACGGGUGAGUAACGCGUGGGUAACCUGCCUCACACAGGGGGAUAACAGUUGGAAACGACCGCUAAUACCGCAUAACCCGCUAGGGCCGCAUGGCCCGGACGGAAAAGAUUUAUCGGUGUGAGAUGGACCCGCGUUGGAUUAGCUAGUUGGCAGGGUAACGGCCUACCAAGGCGACGAUCCAUAGCCGGCCUGAGAGGGUGAACGGCCACGUUGGGACUGAGACACGGCCCAAACUCCUACGGGAGGCAGCAGUGGGGAAUAUUGCACAAUGGGGGAAACCCUGAUGCAGCGACGCCGCGUGAGUGAAGAAGUAUUUCGGUAUGUAAAGCUCUAUCAGCAGGGAAGAAAAUGACGGUACCUGACUAAGAAGCCCCGGCUAACUACGUGCCAGCAGCCGCGGUAAUACGUAGGGGGCAAGCGUUAUCCGGAUUUACUGGGUGUAAAGGGAGCGUAGACGGCUAAGCAAGUCAGAAGUGAAAGGCUGGGGCUCAACCCCGGGACUGCUUUUGAAACUGUUUGGCUAGAGUGCUGGAGAGGUAAGCGGAAUUCCUAGUGUAGCGGUGAAAUGCGUAGAUAUUAGGAGGAACACCAGU
RNAcentral lists this ribosomal RNA (657 nucleotides) under uncultured Lachnospiraceae bacterium. RNAcentral's name for it is "bacterial SSU rRNA". It matches the Rfam family "Bacterial small subunit ribosomal RNA", at positions 56 to 713 of the family's 1533-position model. The record is from RNAcentral. Lineage: Bacteria; Bacillati; Bacillota; Clostridia; Lachnospirales; Lachnospiraceae.